UCUGAGAGGAAGGUCCCCCACAUUGGAACUGAGACACGGUCCAAACUCCUACGGGAGGCAGCAGUGAGGAAUAUUGGUCAAUGGGCGAGAGCCUGAACCAGCCAAGUAGCGUGCAGGAUGACGGCCCUAUGGGUUGUAAACUGCUUUUAUAAGGGAAUAAAGUGGGUCUCGUGAGACUUUUUGCAUGUACCUUAUGAAUAAGGACCGGCUAAUUCCGUGCCAGCAGCCGCGGUAAUACGGAAGGUCCGGGCGUUAUCCGGAUUUAUUGGGUUUAAAGGGAGCGUAGGCCGGAGAUUAAGCGUGUUGUGAAAUGUAGACGCUCAACGUCUGCACUGCAGCGCGAACUGGUUUCCUUGAGUACGCACAAAGUGGGCGGAAUUCGUGGUGUAGCGGUGAAAUGCUUAGAUAUCACGAAGAACUCCGAUUGCGAAGGCAGCUCACUGGAGCGCAACUGACGCUGAAGCUCGAAAGUGCGGGUAUCGAACAGGAUUAGAUACCCUGGUAGUCCGCACGGUAAACGAUGGAUGCCCGCUGUUGGUCUGAAUAGGUCAGCGGCCAAGCGAAAGCAUUAAGCAUCCCACCUGGGGAGUACGCCGGCAACGGUGCAACUCAAAUGAAUUGACGG
Molecule: ribosomal RNA, 625 nt
Filed under: uncultured Bacteroidota bacterium
Lineage: Bacteria; Pseudomonadati; Bacteroidota
Description: bacterial SSU rRNA
Rfam family: Bacterial small subunit ribosomal RNA
Source: RNAcentral